GAUGAACGCUGGCGGCGUGCCUAAUACAUGCCAGUCGAGCGAACAGACGAGGAGCUUGCUCCUCUGAUGUUAGCGGCGGACGGGUGAGUAACACGUGGAUAACCUACCUAUAAGACUGGGAUAACUUCGGGAAACCGGAGCUAAUACCGGAUAACAUGUUGAACCGCAUGGUUCAACAGUGAAAGACGGUCUUGCUGUCACUUAUAGAUGGAUCCGCGCCGCAUUAGCUAGUUGGUAAGGUAACGGCUUACCAAGGCAACGAUGCGUAGCCGACCUGAGAGGGUGAUCGGCCACACUGGAGCUGAGACACGGUCCAGAGUCCUACGGGAGGCAGCAGUAGGGAAUCUUCCGCAAUGGGCGAAAGCCUGACGGAGCAACGCCGCGUGAGUGAAGAAGGUCUUCGGAUCGUAAAACUCUGUUAUUAGGGAAGAACAAAUGUGUAAGUAACUAUGCACGUCUUGACGGUACCUAAUCAGAAAGCCACGGCUAACUACGUG
Molecule: ribosomal RNA, 497 nt
Filed under: uncultured bacterium
Lineage: Bacteria
Description: partial 16S ribosomal RNA
Rfam family: Bacterial small subunit ribosomal RNA
Source: RNAcentral